RNAcentral lists this unclassified non-coding RNA (692 nucleotides) under Bombus terrestris (buff-tailed bumblebee). Its description in RNAcentral is "misc RNA ENSBTSG00005023136.1". Lineage: Eukaryota; Metazoa; Arthropoda; Insecta; Hymenoptera; Apidae. The record is from RNAcentral.
GUACGUACUCACAUGGUUUGACGUCACCCCUUUUUCCCUACCAUUUGAAAUUCACUGCUCAAGUUACGACGUUUAAUUAAUGUACGUUUCUAUUCAAUAUUACGUUAUAAUCUAUUAUUUGAUUAUCUUCUUUUCUUUGAUUGUCUUUUUGGUUACUCCAUUUACCGAUCAUUGCUUCAUUGCGAGGGAAACUUCGAAGCAUUAGAGGCAUAUCACGAAAUUCAAAAGGACACUGCGAUGUUCGACGGUGAAUCCGAAAACUUUUCAUGCAGAUUUGAUACGAAAGUUUGCGAGGGAUUGUCCGAAAGGAGGAUACGGGCAAACGGUGAUCGACGAAGGAAAAUACACGAGGGAAGUGCAUCGAGAACGAUCCAGACACCACGUUGCGCGAAUGGCCGCGCCGACACGAUAUUAAAACAUUAAAAUAACGUACGACCGUGCAAAAACGAAAGGCUACGGUUGACGCGAUCCUUUCAUCGCAAUUCCGACCGUCCGGUACUCUAUUCAAACACGAUCAUUCGUUUCGUUAUUACGCGGCAUUUUUCACCGAUGGACAAGCGCGUAUGGCUUACGCAUCGCGCAUUCGUCAUUCGUCCCGACGAUCCCGCGAAUUUAUCAAUUUAUCAAUUUUUAAAUGUUACACGUUUCCCGGUAAUGGACUAGGACACUGCAAACAUGACGCAGCGUAAUAG